CUACGGGAUGCAGCAGUGAGGAAUCUUCCACAAUGGACGAAAGUCUGAUGGAGCGACACCGCGUGAAGGAUGAAGGCCUAACGGUUGUAAACUUCUUUUCAGAAGGAGCAUAAUGAGAGUACUUCAGGAAUAAGGGACGGCUAAAUACGUGCCAGCAGCCGCGGUAAUACGUAUGUCUCGAGCGUUACCCGGAAUCACUGGGUGUAAAGGGUUCGUAGGCUGUUAAAUAAGUUGGAUAUGAAAGACCGGAGCUCAACUCCGUGUUGGUGUUCAAAACUGUUUAACUAGAAUCAGGGAGAGGUAAGUGGAAUUCUGUGUGUAGGGGUGCAAUCCGUAGAUACACAGAGGAACACCAAAAGCGAAGGCAACUUACUGGAACUGUAUUGACGCUCAUGAACGAAAGCGUGGGGAGCGAAAAGGAUUAGAUACCCUCGUAGUC
Molecule: ribosomal RNA, 439 nt
Filed under: uncultured bacterium
Lineage: Bacteria
Description: partial 16S ribosomal RNA
Rfam family: Bacterial small subunit ribosomal RNA
Source: RNAcentral